RNAcentral lists this ribosomal RNA (284 nucleotides) under Phocaeicola plebeius DSM 17135. RNAcentral describes it as "partial 16S ribosomal RNA". It matches the Rfam family "Bacterial small subunit ribosomal RNA", at positions 491 to 776 of the family's 1533-position model. The record is from RNAcentral. Lineage: Bacteria; Pseudomonadati; Bacteroidota; Bacteroidia; Bacteroidales; Bacteroidaceae.
UAUUUUCCUUUUUUUCCCUCCGCCGCGGUAAUACGGAGGAUGCGAGCGUUAUCCGGAUUUAUUGGGUUUAAAGGGAGCGCAGACGGGUCGUUAAGUCAGCUGUGAAAGUUUGGGGCUCAACCUUAAAAUUGCAGUUGAUACUGGCGUCCUUGAGUGCGGUUGAGGUGUGCGGAAUUCGUGGUGUAGCGGUGAAAUGCUUAGAUAUCACGAAGAACUCCGAUUGCGAAGGCAGCACACUAAUCCGUAACUGACGUUCAUGCUCGAAAGUGUGGGUAUCAAACAGG